RNAcentral lists this ribosomal RNA (206 nucleotides) under Gammaproteobacteria bacterium. Its description in RNAcentral is "partial 23S ribosomal RNA". It matches the Rfam family "Bacterial large subunit ribosomal RNA", at positions 2725 to 2925 of the family's 2925-position model. The record is from RNAcentral. Lineage: Bacteria; Pseudomonadati; Pseudomonadota; Gammaproteobacteria.
CACGCCAGUGGCAUUGCCGGGUAGAUAAAUACGGAAGAGAUAAACGCUGAAAGCAUCUAAGCGUGAAACUUGCCUUAAGAUAAGAUUUCCCUGAGGACUUGAUCCUCCUGAAGGGCCGUUGAAGACCACGACGUUGAUAGGCUGGGUGUGGAAGUGCAGUAAUGCAUUAAGCUAACCAGUACUAAUUGCCCGUGCGGCUUGGCUCU